CGUAGGGUGCAAGCGUUGUCCGGAUUUAUUGGGCGUAAAGAGCUCGUAGGCGGUUAGUCACGUCGGAUGUGAAAACCCGGAGCUUAACUCCGGGCCUGCAUUCGAUACGGGCUGACUAGAGUGUUGUAGGGGAGACUGGAACUCCUGGUGUAGCGGUGAAAUGCGCAGAUAUCAGGAAGAACACCGGUGGCGAAGGCGGGUCUCUGGGCAACUACUGACGCUGAGGAGCGAAAGCGUGGGGAGCAAACAGGAUU
Molecule: ribosomal RNA, 254 nt
Filed under: uncultured bacterium
Lineage: Bacteria
Description: partial 16S ribosomal RNA
Rfam family: Bacterial small subunit ribosomal RNA
Source: RNAcentral